GGGUGUAUAGCUCAACCGGUAGAGCAUUGGGCUUUUAACCUAAUUGUAGCAGGUUCGAGUCCUGCUAUACCCA
RNAcentral lists this transfer RNA (73 nucleotides) under Coleochaete orbicularis. RNAcentral's name for it is "tRNA-Lys". It matches the Rfam family "tRNA". Rfam says of the family: Transfer RNA (tRNA) molecules are approximately 80 nucleotides in length. Their secondary structure includes four short double-helical elements and three loops (D, anti-codon, and T loops). Lineage: Eukaryota; Viridiplantae; Streptophyta; Coleochaetophyceae; Coleochaetales; Coleochaetaceae. RNAcentral also lists the same sequence under 1 other name. The record is from RNAcentral.